GGGGCUGAUUCUGGAUUCGACGGGAUUUGCGAAACCCAAGGUGCAUGCCGAGGGGCGGUUGGCCUCGUAAAAAGCCGCAAAAAAAUAGUCGCAAACGACGAAAACUACGCUUUAGCAGCUUAAUAACCUGCUUAGAGCCCUCUCUCCCUAGCCUCCGCUCUUAGGACGGGGAUGAAGAGAGGUCAAACCCAAAAGAGAUCGCGCGGAUGCCCUGCCUGGGGUUGAAGCGUUAAAACGAAUCAGGCUAGUCUGGUAGUGGCGUGUCCGUCCGCAGGUGCCAGGCGAAUGUAAAGACAGACUAAGCAUGUAGUACCGAGGAUGUAGGAAUUUCGGACGCGGGUUCAACUCCCGCCAGCUCCACCA
This 363-nucleotide transfer-messenger RNA is filed under the name Salmonella enterica. It matches the Rfam family "transfer-messenger RNA". From Rfam's summary of the family: Bacterial tmRNA, also known as 10Sa RNA or SsrA, is named for its dual tRNA and mRNA-like properties. Its role is to liberate the mRNA from a stalled ribosome. To accomplish this part of the tmRNA is used as a reading frame that ends in a translation stop signal. The record is from RNAcentral. Lineage: Bacteria; Pseudomonadati; Pseudomonadota; Gammaproteobacteria; Enterobacterales; Enterobacteriaceae.